RNAcentral lists this ribosomal RNA (773 nucleotides) under Salmonella enterica subsp. enterica. Its description in RNAcentral is "partial 23S ribosomal RNA". It matches the Rfam family "Bacterial large subunit ribosomal RNA", at positions 1 to 816 of the family's 2925-position model. Lineage: Bacteria; Pseudomonadati; Pseudomonadota; Gammaproteobacteria; Enterobacterales; Enterobacteriaceae. The record is from RNAcentral.
GGUUAAGCGACUAAGCGUACACGGUGGAUGCCCUGGCAGUCAGAGGCGAUGAAGGGCGUGCUAAUCUGCGAUAAGCGCCGGUAAGGUGAUAUGAACCGUUAUAACCGGCGAUACCCGAAUGGGGAAACCCAGUGUGACUCGUCACACUAUCAUUAACUGAAUCCAUAGGUUAAUGAGGCGAACCGGGGGAACUGAAACAUCUAAGUACCCCGAGGAAAAGAAAUCAACCGAGAUUCCCCCAGUAGCGGCGAGCGAACGGGGAGGAGCCCAGAGCCUGAAUCAGCAUGUGUGUUAGUGGAAGCGUCUGGAAAGGCGCGCGAUACAGGGUGACAGCCCCGUACACAAAAGCGCAUGUGCUGUGAGCUCGAUGAGUAGGGCGGGACACGUGGUAUCCUGUCUGAAUAUGGGGGGACCAUCCUCCAAGGCUAAAUACUCCUGACUGACCGAUAGUGAACCAGUACCGUGAGGGAAAGGCGAAAAGAACCCCGGCGAGGGGAGUGAAAAAGAACCUGAAACCGUGUACGUACAAGCAGUGGGAGCACCCUUUGGGGUGUGACUGCGUACCUUUUGUAUAAUGGGUCAGCGACUUAUAUUCUGUAGCAAGGUUAACCGAAUAGGGGAGCCGCAGGGAAACCGAGUCUUAAUUGGGCGUUAAGUUGCAGGGUAUAGACCCGAAACCCGGUGAUCUAGCCAUGGGCAGGUUGAAGGUUGGGUAACACUAACUGGAGGACCGAACCGACUAAUGUUGAAAAAUUAGCGGAUGACCUGUGGCU